AGAGUUUGAUCCUGGCUCAGGAUGAACGCUAGCGGCAGUAAUACAUGCAAGUCGAGGGGCAGCACAGGUAGCAAUACUGGGUGGCGACCGGCAAACGGGUGCGGAACACGUACGCAACCUUCCUUUAAGUGGGGGAUAGCCCAGGGAAACUUGGAUUAAUACCCCUUAAUAUUAUUGAGUGGCAUCACUUGAUAAUUAAAGCUCCGGCGCUUAAAGAUGGGCGUGCGCCUGAUUAGGUAGUUGGCGGGGUAACAGCCCACCAAGCCUACGAUCAGUAACUGGUGUGAGAGCACGACCAGUCACACGGGCACUGAGACACGGGCCCGACUCCUACGGGAGGCAGCAGUAAGGAAUAUUGGUCAAUGGACGCAAGUCUGAACCAGCCAUGCCGCGUGGAGGAUGACGGCCCUCUGGGUUGUAAACUCCUUUUAUCUGGGAAGAAAUGCACUUUUUCUAAAGUGUUUGACGGUACCAGAGGAAUAAGCACCGGCUAACUCCGUGCCAGCAGCCGCGGUAAUACGGAGGGUGCAAGCGUUAUCCGGAUUCACUGGGUUUAAAGGGUGCGUAGGUGGAGUGGUAAGUCAGUGGUGAAAUCUCCAAGCUUAACUUGGAAACUGCCGUUGAUACUAUCAUUCUUGAAUAUCGUGGAGGUAAGCGGAAUAUGUCAUGUAGCGGUGAAAUGCUUAGAUAUGACAUAGAACACCGAUUGCGAAGGCAGCUUACUACACGAUCAUUGACACUGAGGCACGAAAGCGUGGGGAUCAAACAGGAUUAGAUACCCUAGUAGUCC
Molecule: ribosomal RNA, 790 nt
Filed under: uncultured bacterium
Lineage: Bacteria
Description: bacterial SSU rRNA
Rfam family: Bacterial small subunit ribosomal RNA
Source: RNAcentral